RNAcentral lists this ribosomal RNA (626 nucleotides) under uncultured bacterium. RNAcentral's name for it is "bacterial SSU rRNA". It matches the Rfam family "Bacterial small subunit ribosomal RNA", at positions 220 to 842 of the family's 1533-position model. The record is from RNAcentral.
CAUGGAUGGGCAUGCGGCGCAUUAGGUAGUUGGUGGGGCAACGGCCCACCAAGCCGACGAUGCGUAGGGGUUCUGAGAGGAAGGUCCCCCACAUUGGAACUGAGACACGGUCCAAACUCCUACGGGAGGCAGCAGUGAGGAAUAUUGGUCAAUGGCCGGAAGGCUGAACCAGCCAAGUCGCGUGAGGGAAUAAGGCCCUACGGGUCGUAAACCUCUUUUGCCAGGGAGCAAUGCCGUCCACGUGUGGACGGAAGGAGAGUACCUGGAGAAAAAGCAUCGGCUAACUCCGUGCCAGCAGCCGCGGUAAUACGGAGGAUGCGAGCGUUAUCCGGAUUUAUUGGGUUUAAAGGGUGCGUAGGCGGCCUGCCAAGUCAGCGGUAAAAUUGCGGGGCUCAACCCCGUACAGCCGUUGAAACUGCCGGGCUCGAGUGGGCGAGAAGUAUGCGGAAUGCGUGGUGUAGCGGUGAAAUGCAUAGAUAUCACGCAGAACCCCGAUUGCGAAGGCAGCAUACCGGCGCCCGACUGACGCUGAGGCACGAAAGUGCGGGGAUCAAACAGGAUUAGAUACCCUGGUAGUCCGCACAGUAAACGAUGAAUGCUAGCUGUCCGGGGGGAUUGACCCCUGG